This 497-nucleotide ribosomal RNA is filed under the name uncultured bacterium. RNAcentral describes it as "partial 16S ribosomal RNA". It matches the Rfam family "Bacterial small subunit ribosomal RNA", at positions 28 to 507 of the family's 1533-position model. The record is from RNAcentral.
GAUGAACGCUGGCGGCGUGCCUAAUACAUGUAAGUCGAGCGAACGGACGAGAAGCUUGCUUCUCUGAUGUUAGCGGCGGACGGGUGAGUAACACGUGGAUAACCUACCUAUAAGACUGGGAUAACUUCGGGAAACCGGAGCUAAUACCGGAUGAUAUUUUGAACCGCAUGGUUCAAAAGUGAAAGACGGUCUUGCUGUCACUUAUAGAUGGAUCCGCGCUGCAUUAGCUAGUUGGUAAGGUAACGGCUUACCAAGGCAACGAUGCAUAGCCGACCUGAGAGGGUGAUCGGCCACACUGGAACUGAGACACGGUCCAGACUCCUACGGGAGGCAGCAGUAGGGAAUCUUCCGCAAUGGGCGAAAGCCUGACGGAGCAACGCCGCGUGAGUGAUGAAGGUCUUCGGAUCGUAAAACUCUGUUAUUAGGGAAGAACAUAUGUGUAAGUAACUGUGCACAUCUUGACGGUACCUAAUCAGAAAGCCACGGCUAACUACGUG